RNAcentral lists this long non-coding RNA (1739 nucleotides) under Mytilus galloprovincialis (Mediterranean mussel). The record is from RNAcentral. Lineage: Eukaryota; Metazoa; Mollusca; Bivalvia; Mytilida; Mytilidae.
GUUUACUUUUAUGAAUUGUUAUUUGGAUGGAGAGUUGCCUCAUUGGCACUCAUACCACAUCUUCUUAUAUCUAUUUGAAGAUCUUUUUCAAUAUAUAUUCAGAGAAUAAAAACGUUUUCAAUCGCUUCCCUUUAUUAUCAAUUUGGAAUCAAUAUUACAUAUUUAGUAAAAAUAUUCUGUCAUCGAAGAACGUUAAUUAAAAUGACUCCAAAUAACUCACCAAAGAAACUGUGCUAAAAAAUUAAUACGCCAGACGCGCUUUCGUCUGCAAAAGACUCAUCGGUGACUUUUGAAUAAAAAAUUGAAGAGCAUGGAGUACCCACAACUCUGAAAGGAAUCAUUUGUGUCUUAUACAGUUUUUUGCUUUUAAGAAUUGCCGGUUUUUUAAAGAACAGUCAAUAUCUAUAAACUACCGAACAACCCUACGUCUUUCACCAGAUUUAAUUUUCUAUGAGGAUUCUAAUGCGUUAAGACGUACAUAUUCGAUCGUACUUUGUACAUUCAACCAUGAUAAUUUGUUUUUUAAAUAAGAUACUUUUUACUUUAAUAAUCCGCCCAGUUUAUAUCAUAUUAUCAUGUAAAUCACUCUCCAACCUACUUAUCAAGUCUUAAAUAUAGAGUUUUCGUAUUUAUCGUAGGUGUGGAAUGAAACCACGUUCGCUUUUCAAAGUACAAGUUUUCGUUUUUUUGAGUACAUGUGAAUAAACUCAUCACAAAAGCCAGGCUUGGAAACUCAAAAGCUAGAUACGCGUUUCGUCUGCAUAAGACUCGUCAGUAAUGCUAGAACUGUGAAAGUAAAAAGGCCCAAAAAAAAGUACGAAGCUAGAGAUCAUUUAGGAUCCAAAAUUCAAAGAGAUGUUGCACCCAAGGUUAUCUAUGUAGAAAAUAAUGUACGAACAUCCGGGAGUAUUAAACGUUCGAAAAUUACUGUGUAAAAAUAUGUAGUAUUGAUAGUAAAUCUUCUUGAAAUACCAGUAUAUUACUAGAAGAAAUCAUAAUGGAAAACGUUAUUAUAAAAAUAAAAUUUUAAUUUUAUCAUCGGUAUGACAAACACGAUUGAUCCCAUAAGUUGAAUAGAUCUUCAAUUUUCUGUGAAGUAUUUUAUAGACUAUUGGUUUUUUUUUCGUCUAAAUCUGCUUGGAAACGCUGUUGUCUUUUUCUUCUACUUUUGAUUUUUUAUUGUUCUCUUAAUCUCCGUUGUCUCUUUUCAAAUUGGAUCUAGAAAAAUCAAAAUCGUCCAAGUCAUCUUUACCACAAUCUGAACAAUAACCCUAUGUUACAGCCAUGCGACAUAAUUCUGUCCUCAAAACAUUCAACGGUGGUUUGGUAAAAAUAAAUGAGCAUGUAGCUUUGAUCUCUCUUGAAUUAUAUCCUGCAAUUUCUCAUGACAAUCAAUCCUACCGUGCAUUUUAAAUGUCACGUAAUCGACAUUGUACACCACAAGCCUCUCGUAUAUCUAGUAAGCAUAAAAGAAACCCCUUAAGUACCCCUUUGCCACAUCCGUCAGUUUAGAUACAUAUAUUAAUGGCUGUAAUGUUGCAGAAAGGCCGGACGUCCUUCUGCUUGUAGGUAGUUUCCCUUAAGAUGUAUUUUCCUCAUUUGGUUUACUAUUAUUUUCCCGUCAAAAAGUUAAACAAUUUUACUCUUGUUAAACACUAUCAUAAUAUCUACGGUUAGGCUUAGACCAUUAAAUUUGAUGCCAACUUUAAUUAUGAGUUAUAAGUUUUGCUAAACUAUAG